This 468-nucleotide ribosomal RNA is filed under the name uncultured bacterium. RNAcentral's name for it is "partial 16S ribosomal RNA". It matches the Rfam family "Bacterial small subunit ribosomal RNA", at positions 28 to 507 of the family's 1533-position model. The record is from RNAcentral.
GACGAACGCUGGCGGCGUGCUUAACACAUGCAAGUCGAACGGAAAGGCCCUGCUUUUGUGGGGUGCUCGAGUGGCGAACGGGUGAGUAACACGUGAGUAACCUGCCCUUGACUUUGGGAUAACUUCAGGAAACUGGGGCUAAUACCGGAUAGGAGCUCCUGCUGCAUGGGUGGGGUUGGAAAGUUUCGGCGGUUGGGGAUUGAGUGGCGGCUUAUCAGCUUGUUGGUGGGGUAGUGGCUUACCAAGGCUUUGAGGGGUAGCCGGCCUGAGAGGGUGACCGGCCCCAUUGGGCCUGGGAUACGGGCCAGACUGCUACGGGAGGCAGCAGUGGGGAAUAUUGCACAAUGGGCGGAAGCCUGAUGCAGAAACGCCGCGUGCGGGAUGACGGCCUUCGGGUUGUAAACCGCUUUCGCCUGUGACGCAGCGUGAGUGACGGUAAUGGGUAAAGAAGCACCGGCUAACUACGUG